GAUGAACGCUGGCGGCGUGCCUAAUACAUGCAAGUCGAGCGAACAGAUGAGGAGCUUGCUCCUCUGACGUUAGCGGCGGACGGGUGAGUAACACGUGGAUAACCUACCUAUAAGACUGGGAUAACUUCGGGAAACCGGAGCUAAUACCGGAUAAUAUAUUGAACCGCAUGGUUCAAUAGUGAAAGACGGUUUUGCUGUCACUUAUAGAUGGAUCCGCGCCGCAUUAGCUAGUUGGUAAGGUAACGGCUUACCAAGGCAACGAUGCGUAGCCGACCUGAGAGAGUGGUAGGCCACACGGGAACUGAGACACGGUCCAGACGACUGCGGGAGGCAGCAGUAGGGAAUCUUCCGCAAUGGGCGAAAGCCUGACGGAGCAACGGCGCGUGAGUGAUGAAGGUCUUCGGAUCGUAAAACUCUGUUAUUAGGGAAGAACAAAUGUGUAAGUAACUAUGCACGUCUUGACGGUACCUAAUCAGAAAGCCACGGCUAACUACGUG
Molecule: ribosomal RNA, 497 nt
Filed under: uncultured bacterium
Lineage: Bacteria
Description: partial 16S ribosomal RNA
Rfam family: Bacterial small subunit ribosomal RNA
Source: RNAcentral